RNAcentral lists this long non-coding RNA (965 nucleotides) under Struthio camelus australis. RNAcentral's name for it is "lncRNA (ENSSCUG00000015074.1)". The record is from RNAcentral. Lineage: Eukaryota; Metazoa; Chordata; Aves; Struthioniformes; Struthionidae.
AACUGAGACAAAGGUCUGAGAACUUGCAAUCUGGUGUAUGAGUAGGAAGUUCUGACAUGAAUCUUCCGUUGUGCUCCCUUGGCAGGAACUUCCAAGGCUCCCUUUACUCCCUGCUAUCUGUGACAUAGAAGCUAUAGAGGAAACUGUCUGAUGAGAAAGAAAAAAAAACCCCACUGGCGCAAAUGGGAACCCAUAAGCUGUAAAGUUAAAGACAAGUCGACUUCCGUUGUCAUUUGCUGCUCCGAGUGCAAAUGAGCCAUUCAGCCCUUCCAUGGAGCCCAUCACGGACCACCUUUCUGCAUGGAAGGUUCGCAAUAGCCUCCUUUCCCACAAGCAAGACCACACACGUUUACAGAUUUGGAUUCGUCGAAGCCAUGCUUGUCUCACUGAUGCUUUCUCCUACAGCCUGCUCCUGUCUUGGUUUUUCGCACAAAACAAGAAAGGAAAAAAAUUAAGGGUAAGGUCCCCUUUUCCAAGUGGCCAGAAUUGCAGUGCAAAAUGCAUAGUGAAUGUAAGUCUUUCCCGAAUUGCAUGUCUGCGAUGCCGGGCAAAAACACCUUUAAAUAGCUUAAGUUACUACUAAGCCAAACACUGUGAAAUGGUUUUUAUGGCAAUUGACGACGAUUUUAAACUGCGUCUCCACAAGAAUACUGGCAUGCAUGUUACAGUUAUUUCCCCUCUUUAAAACCAAAGGCAGUAACCAUUUGAGGAAUUCGGACUAAUCCAAACUUUAAGGGGAACAUUUUCCCCCAUUGUGUGAAGCCUUUAACGAGCUGGGAUUUAAUUGGGGUCUGAACUUUGAAUGCGUGUAUUUUUUCCCUAUUGGCAGGGGGCAUGUUUGCAAACAGAUCUUUAACUUAUAGCUAUAAAACCGUGCGGCGUCCGGGGGGCCAGGCUGUGUAACCGUGUGUGCGUGCGUGCCGCUGCUCAACGCUUCCCCUUUCCGCCGCACUCCCCCUCCCCGC